GCCAAGCAGCCGCGGUAAUUCCAGCUCCAAUAGCGUAUAUUAAAGUUGUUGUGGUUAAAAAGCUCGUAGUUGGAUCUCAACAGCCUUGAAGCGGUUAACUUUGUAGUUUUACUGCUUUAUAGGCUGUGCUUUUGCUGGAGGUUUAGGGGUGCUCUUGAUCGAGUGUCUCUGGAUGCCAGCAGGUUUACUUUGAAAAAAUUAGAGUGCUCAAAGCAGGCUAAAAUGCCUGAAUAUUCGUGCAUGGAAUAAUAGAAUAGGAUGUCGAUCCUAUUUUGUUGGUUUUCGGGACUCGACAUAAUGAUAAAUAGGGACAGUCGGGGGCAUUUGUAUUCAAACGACAGAGGUGAAAUUCUUGGACCGUUUGAAGACAAACUACUGCGAAAGCAUUUGCCAAGAAUGUUUUCAUUAAUCAAGAACGAAAGUUAGAGGUUCGAAGGCGAUUAGAUACCGCCCUAGUUCUAACCAUAAACGAUGCCAGCUAGCGAUCUGCCUGCGUUUUUACUGUAGACUGGGCAGGAAGCUUCCGGGAAACCAAAGCAUUUGGGUUCCAGGGGAAGUAUGGUUGCAAAGCUGAAACUUAAAGGAAUUGACGGAAGGGCACCACCAGGAGUGGAGCCUGUGGCUUAAUUUGACUCAACACGGGAAAUCUCACCAGGCCCGGACACUGGAAGGAUUGACAGAUUGAUAGCUCUUUCUUGAUUCGGUGGGUGGUGGUGCAUGGCCGUUCUUAGUUGGUGGAGUGAUUUGUCUGGUUAAUUCCGAUAACGAACGAGACUCUGUCCUGCUAAAUAGUUUCUACUUCUCUUUUGAGUAGAAAUUUCUUCUUAGAGGGACUGGUGACUCUUAGUCACACGAGAUUGAGCAAUAACAGGUCUGUGAU
RNAcentral lists this ribosomal RNA (880 nucleotides) under uncultured eukaryote. RNAcentral describes it as "SSU rRNA". It matches the Rfam family "Eukaryotic small subunit ribosomal RNA", at positions 566 to 1468 of the family's 1831-position model. The record is from RNAcentral.